UACGGGGGGAGCAAGCGUCGUUCGGAUUUACUGGGCGUAAAGGGCGCGUAGGCGGUCAGCACAAGUCAGUUGUGAAAUCUCCGGGCUUAACUCGGAAAGGUCAACUGAUACUGUGCGACUAGAGUGCAGAAGGGGCAACUGGAAUUCUCGGUGUAGCGGUGAAAUGCGUAGAUAUCGAGAGGAACACCUGCGGCGAAGGCGGGUUGCUGGGCUGACACUGACGCUGAUGCGCGAAAGCCAGGGGAGCGAACGGG
This 254-nucleotide ribosomal RNA is filed under the name uncultured bacterium. Its description in RNAcentral is "partial 16S ribosomal RNA". It matches the Rfam family "Bacterial small subunit ribosomal RNA", at positions 524 to 776 of the family's 1533-position model. The record is from RNAcentral.